RNAcentral lists this transfer RNA (81 nucleotides) under Trichosporon asahii var. asahii CBS 8904. RNAcentral's name for it is "tRNA-Ser (TGA) (tRNA-Ser-TGA-1-1)". It matches the Rfam family "tRNA". Rfam says of the family: Transfer RNA (tRNA) molecules are approximately 80 nucleotides in length. Their secondary structure includes four short double-helical elements and three loops (D, anti-codon, and T loops). Lineage: Eukaryota; Fungi; Basidiomycota; Tremellomycetes; Trichosporonales; Trichosporonaceae. The record is from RNAcentral.
GGUGACGUGUCCGAGUGGUUAAGGAGUCAGAUUUGAAACCUGAUGGUUAUCGCCGCGUAGGUUCAAAUCCUGCCGUCAUCG